RNAcentral lists this ribosomal RNA (253 nucleotides) under uncultured bacterium. RNAcentral describes it as "partial 16S ribosomal RNA". It matches the Rfam family "Bacterial small subunit ribosomal RNA", at positions 524 to 776 of the family's 1533-position model. The record is from RNAcentral.
GACAGAGGUGGCAAGCGUUGUUCGGAAUUACUGGGCUUAAAGGGCGCGUAGGUGGUGAUAUAAGUCCGGGGUGGAAGGCUGAGGCUUAACCUUGGAAUUGCCCUGGAAACUGUAUCACUUGAGUCAGCGAGGGGAUGGCGGAAUUCCUGGUGUAGCGGUGAAAUGCGUAGAUAUCAGGAGGAAGGCCGGUGGCGAAGGCGGCCAUCUGGCGCUGAACUGACACUGAGGCGCGAAAGCGUGGGGAGCAAACAGG